GGUUCAUGGAGGCUUCGGUUCGAGGUGAGUGGUUCAGCUUUGAGUAUGGUUUGCUGGGAAUGGUGAAAAGAAAAGAUAAGAAAAGAAAGAAAAGAAAGAAAAUAAAUAGAUAAAUAAAAUAAAAUAAGAUACAAGAAAAUAAAUAAAUAAAAUAAAAUGAAAUACAAGAAAAUAAAAUAAAAGAAAAGAAAAGAAAGAAAAGAAAGGAAAGAAGAGAAAAGAAUGAAAGAAAGAAAAGAAAGGAAAGAAGAGAAAAGAAUGAAAGAAAGAAAAGAAAAGAAUGAAAGAAAGAAAAGAAAAGAAUGAAAGAAAGAAAAGAAAAGAAUGAAAGAAAGAAACGAAAAGAAUGAAAGAAAGAAAGAAAAGAAAAAAAAUGCCGCUGAAACUAAAUGUUAUUGUCCCGAAGCGAAACAUUUCUGGCGAACAUAUAUAUUUUUCUUAUUUUUUUUGUCACUUGCAUGAAACGAUACAUUUUGUAAACAAAUAGAACCCUUAACCCUAGAGCACUAAACUGGGUCCAUAUGGACCCACCAAAUUGCGCGUCAAAUUUUCCGGUCCUUCUCCAUCUUAUCCACAAUGCAUUUCUUGUUUAGACGGCAAUUUUCUCAUCACUUGGAUCUCAGCGGUCGUGGCUAGCGGAAGGUACGUGACAGUUUUAGCGUUUUUAGUGAUUUAUAGGCAGUGCUUGGUCCACAUGGACCCAUGGUUAUAAGUAGUGUUCCAUAUCGACUUUGCACAUGCACUACGUAUUGAGCAUUUUUUUGUGUGUGAUGUACGAAAUAUUGUAAUGUGUGGUGUUGUAUAAUGCUGCCGAUAGUUGAACCAUCUUGUUAUAUUGUGAAACUCGCAUUUCGCUCUAUAUUUAGUUCAUUUUCACUCGUUUUCCUUGGAUAGAUAUGUUGAACACCUGUCACGUGGUAACCAGGUGAUGUGACAGAAGCAGGGGAGCAGUGCUGUUGACCAGGAGCCAGUGCUACACCUCCUGGGAUCGGAGAGUGCUUGUUGAAUGGUUGGAGAUCACACCCAAUAAAGGACCAUGGUGGGCUGCUUUUGGCAAGUAUAGCUUCAGCAACUCUUCAGCUAAACGGAAUUAGCAGUUACUAAGCUGAAAAUGAUUUAUUUUAUUUUUUGCAUAAUAUAUUUUGAAACUAUAUGAAAUUUCGGAAAUUUUAUUUUUCUAAUUUUGCUACAAUAAAAAUAUGGCAUAUUUUUCUUUA
Long non-coding RNA from Penaeus indicus, 1217 nucleotides. RefSeq lists it as uncharacterized. Lineage: Eukaryota; Metazoa; Arthropoda; Malacostraca; Decapoda; Penaeidae. The record is from RefSeq and is a predicted model, not a curated record. The transcript is spliced from 2 exons.